UGUGAAUUGAGACUGUGUAUAAGAAUGUAAGGAGGAGAGGGGCCGUUCGUAUCGUUCGUCUUAUGCACAGGCUCAAUGCACACA
MicroRNA precursor from Caenorhabditis elegans, 84 nucleotides. The record is from Ensembl. NCBI's taxonomy places the organism in Eukaryota, Metazoa, Nematoda, Chromadorea, Rhabditida, Rhabditidae.